CUACGGAGGCAGCAGUGGGGAAUAUUGCACAAUGGGCGCAGGCCUGAUGCAGCCAUGCCGCGUGUAUGAAGAAGGCCUUCGGGUUGUAAAGUACUUUCAGCGGGGAGGAAGGGAGUAAAGUUAAUACCUUUGCUCAUUGACGUUACCCGCAGAAGAAGCACCGGCUCACUCCGUGCCAGCAGCCGCGGUAAUACGGAGGGUGCAAGCGUUAAUCGGAAUUACUGGGCGUAAAGCGCACGCAGGCGGUUUGUUAAGUCAGAUGUGAAAUCCCCGGGCUCAACCUGGGAACUGCAUCUGAUACUGGCAAGCUUGAGUCUCGUAGAGGGGGGUAGAAUUCCAGGUGUAGCAGUGAAAUGCGUAGAGAUCUGGAGGAAUACCGGUGGCGAAGGCGGCCCCCUGGACGAAGACUGGCGCUCAGGUGCGAAAGCGUGGGGAGCAAACAGGAUUAGAUACCCGUGUAGUC
RNAcentral lists this ribosomal RNA (463 nucleotides) under uncultured bacterium. RNAcentral's name for it is "partial 16S ribosomal RNA". It matches the Rfam family "Bacterial small subunit ribosomal RNA", at positions 339 to 795 of the family's 1533-position model. The record is from RNAcentral.